CACAGAGGAGAGACACAGAUGGCGGGUUUCAGAAUCGGUUUAAUGGAUCAGGAUUCGCACUCUGGCUCUGAGGGUCCCAAAGAGGCCACUUCUCCAAGUUUUCAAAAAUAGAUCUGAUAUAAAGACGUUUUAAUAUUCAUAAAUAGGUGACGUGAAAAAAUCCCCAAAUGCAAAUGACACCCACCCCCGGGUCUGCCUGGGCCCCUGCCACCCGCCCUGUCCCGGCCCUGAGGGUGGGCGGGUCCCGCUGGAGAGAGAAACUGAAUUCAAUAUGAAUCGGAAGCUUUCUCCUUGCCCCACCCAGGGGCCGGGUCCUGGGGACCGGUCCCCUCCUGGAAGGAGAAAGAAAACCUCUCUGGCAUCUCUGGGAGGGUCCCCAGCUCCACUCCUGCUUUGGAGUAGAAAAUCCCAGGGGUCCACCCAGACCCGCGGACUCUUCUUCUGCCCGGGCCCCUCUGGCUCCGCCCCCUUCCUGCUGUCCCGGCCCCACCUGCUCCUGGGGUUGGGCACUUUAUAAACAAAGGAAGAGAUUAAAGUGCCCCCAGGCCCUGGGCCCCUGGGAGGCCACCAGGCUGCCCGGAAGGACACGGCAGGUUUUGUGUCACACAGUCCCCACCCUCCUGUACCCAAGCCCAGGUCUCCACUGGACAGAGGCCCAACCCCCAGGGACAGCGAGGCCCCUCCUGGUGGGACCCAGAAGGGCCUGCAGCAUGGGGCCUUCGCUGUGGGAAAUGGCUCUGGCCAGAGGGUCCUGGGGCAGGGCCCUGGUGACAUGUGUCCUGCUGGGUCAUUAGUAGCAUUUUUUUCUUUCUUUUUUUGGCACCAGGGACUGAACCCAGGGGCCCUGGACCACGGAGCCCCCGUCCCCAGCCCUGUUUCGUGUUUCAUUUAGAGACAGGGCCUCGCUGAGCUGCUCAGGGCCUAAGUGGCUGAGGCUGGCCUCCACCUUGCCAUCCUCCUGCCUCAGCCUCCUGAACAGCUGGGGUGACAGGCGGGCCACCACAUCUUGGCUACAUACUAUUCCUGGCACACCGGGUCCCAGAUGCAUCUGGGGACCUCUGAGGCAGAAAGACACCCUCAGGGAUGGGCACUACCUGCCCUCAGGUAGUACCUGAGCUCUGCCAUGACACCCUCCAUGUGGCCCUGGCCCAGCCCCUCCCCCCUUCUAGAACCACAGGCCACCCCUGCGCUGGAGCCGGAAACCGGGCCACCAGGCCCCAGGACACCUGCACCUGGCCCCCUAACCUGGGAAUGGGGCCAAUGCAGACCACAGGCCAGGGCGACAGGGGCCCCACCUCCUGCUUUGGAGUAGAAAAUACCAGUGGUCCACCCAGACCUGAGGACUCUUCUUCAGCUCCUGGCCCCUCUGGCUCCGCCCACUUCCUGCUGUCCCUACGUUGGGGCUGAGGCGGCCCAGCCUGGGAGGAACCGCAGGGAAGUGGCCUCAGCUGAAGAGGCAGCGGAUUUAUGUGGUGGGGGAAGGGGUGUCGGUGCACAAGGAGCUGACACUGGGUCCCAGGUCCCCUCAGUCAGUCACUGGGACCCCUCAGGGUCCCUGAUGCUAUUUUCCAAGAAGCCCCAGCACCCAGCACAGGUGGAGGGUAAAUUUUUUUUUUUUUUGGUCCCAGGGAUGGAACCCAGGGGUGCCUCACCACGGAGCCCCGUCCCCAGCCCUUUUUAGAUUUUAUUUAGCGUCAGGGUCUUCCUGAGUGGCUGAGGCUGGCCUCCAACUUGUGAUCCUCCUGCCUCAGCCUCCCAAGCUGCUGGGAUGACAGGCUGGGGCCUCCAGGUCCCCCCGACCGUCUUGAGGAGUCCUCCGUCUGUCCUGGCACUGAGGAGGGACCCAGGGCCUCCUGAGCUUCCCUGGCCUCUGAGGCCUGUCCCUGCCUCGUCCCCUACUGGCCAGACUUCUGAGCCAGCACUCAGGGAUCAGCUACGGUGUGACCUGAGUGGCCAGUCCCUGGGCCCCAAGCCAACGCACAGUGCCCAGCUGGCCACGGGCCACGACCCCACUCUUGGGCCACCUGACAAGCUCCAUGGAAAACCAGAAAAACCCGAGGUCCUGAUAAGGCAGGAGCCAGGCCCGGGGUGUGGGGCCUGGGGCUGGCAGUGCAGGAGGAAGGGCAGCCCGAGGGAUGAGUCCAGUUGGCUGCCCAGGUCAUCUUGCUCUCUGGGCUCCAGACAGAGGCUCCAGAGGGAUUUGGAAGGUUCCGGAAUGAUCUAGAAAUUUCCGGAAUGAUCUGGAAGGUUCCAGAAUGAUCUGGAAGGUUCUGGAAUGAUCUAGAAGAAGCUAGGGGGGCAGCCAUCUGCUGGGCAGAAGGUGGUCACAGGUUGGACCUCGGCCCCUUUCCCACUGUGGUGGCCCUGCGGGGCUCAGGCCAGUCUUGGCAUGUGAAGGACGGGCUCCCACCUGCCCUGGGCUCCUGCUCCUGCCGGAUCACAGGGUGGCGGGUCACAGGGUGGCCCCCGCGGCUCCCCCAGCUCUGGAAGGUGCCAGGGGGGCGGAGGGGGACGGAGGCCGGUCAGCAGCCACAGCCCCAGCCCUCGGCCACGUCCUUGCUGUCCAGUUGGAUGUGGUCGCCGCUCUUCUCGCUGAACAAGGGGCCACCGUGCCGCAUGAUGAGCUCCGUGGCCACCCUGAGGAAGGCCUCCUCCACGUUGCGCGAGUCCUUGGCCGAGGUCUCGAUGGCGCACAGGAUGUCGUAGUGCCGGGCCAGGCUCUGGGCCUCGGCCAGCGGCACCUCCCGGAGCUCAGCCAGGUCCGCCUUGUUCCCUGGGGGGAGACGUGGGGCAGUGAGCGGGCCCAAGGCCACCUGAGCAGGGCCGUCCUUGUCACCCACCUCACCCAGGCCCAGAGCCUUGGGGUCAGGGACCACAGACACGGCCCCUAAAUCGAGGAGCCUCAGUAAACCCUUCCCCCUGAGCUGUCCUGUGGAGUCAGUCAGUCAACAAUCUUUCUUAAAACGGCCUUUUUAAUUCUAACCUUUUUUUGGUGGCACUGGGCCACCAAGCUAGGACAUGGCCCUUUCCGUACCUA
Molecule: long non-coding RNA, 3037 nt
Filed under: Marmota monax (woodchuck)
Lineage: Eukaryota; Metazoa; Chordata; Mammalia; Rodentia; Sciuridae
Source: RNAcentral